UGAGUGUUUCCGUUUGAUUGCUAGGCUGCAUUCUGGGUCGCUUCCCAACAGCCUAGGUGACAGCUCUUCACGGGACACCUGAAUAACUGUGAGGUGAUGAACUGUGAGACCUCACAUGAUACACAGUCUUUAAAAUAGUCAGCGUGACAUAAUGCACCAGCUAUGACCCAGGUUGUGGUGGAAAGUAUCUGGGGAGGAAAAUUAGGAUCAAGAUAGUUGAAAGAUAGCCAAUUUAGAAUCUAGACCAGGGUAGGGAAGACUAAGGUCAAGGAAACUUUCUACCCUCCCACCCCUCUCUCUUGGCAACAGUUCUGAAGCGCCCCCGCAGUGUUCUGUAAGGUGCCACAGACAGAAACAAUACAAAAGGAACCCGGGGUUUGCUAAGACAUUAGAGCCCCAGGAAAUCUCCUGUCGGAGAAGUUGGACAGCUCUCUUGGUGUUUAUCCUCUGUUUCCAGAAUCUUCCACGUUUAUCUCAAACGUUUCAGUGAUUGCCUUCCUCCAGGCAAUAGACCAUGCUUUCCGGAGAUCCGACCAGCAACUUGGCUGUCCCAGCGCCUGUUUCCAAAAUGACUGUGUGGGAACGCAACUCAUACCCUCUCCCAACAGUAGGUGGCAGCACUAACCUUGUUCAUUUCGCUCCCGCAUCUGUAAGAGCAAGCCGAAUUUACUCAGUGGCAACAGUUUAAGGACAAACCUUAUUUAAUGUUAUUUCUCAAGAAUAUAGGCAAGUAGGUGAGUAACUUAAAAACCCGACUAAGCUCUUGGCCAUGAAGAGACUGGAGGAACCGCCCACAUUUAGACACGUUGAAAUGUGAAGCAGAGACCUGACUCAUUUAUACUAAUUUUUCUUCUUCACCGAAGUCUCAGGCAAAGCUAGUUAGUAGACCAUUUCAGAAGAAAGUAAGUGCUUGAAGUCAGACCCGAAAAUUCUUAUUUUAAUGUGAAAUUUACAUCUCAACAUUUUAAAGUUACGUUUAUUUAUUUGCGCCCCGGGGGUGGGGAAGGGCAUUCAGGUGGAGGUCAGAGAACGACUUUCAGAAAUGGGUCUGGCCUUUCACUGGGUGGAUUGGAGGCUGACUUUAGGUUGUCAGCCUUGGUGGCAAGCACCUUUACCCGCUGAGCCCUCUUGCUGGCCCAGGCAGUUUUAAUUAUGCUUUAAAAAACAAACAGCAACAUCAAGAAAACAACAAAAAAUCAAAACAAAACAGAUUUUCCUUUUAAAGAGCAGCCUUAAGUCAAAAGCAAAAUUGAGAUAAAAGUGCAGCGAUCCCCACGUGUGCUCUGGACUCCCCAAGACUAUGAACAUCUGCACCAGGGUGCUGCCGGCUCCUGCUGCUCAACAUGGUUAUUUUCUCAGCUUCCCAAGGGCACAGUUUACAUGCGUCUUCCCUUGGAACGGUGCGCUCUGCUCUGCGAGUUUGGAACUAUGUACAAUGCGGCGUUUUCUCCUACACGGCAUGCGGAGUAUUGCCACUGUCCUAAGUGCCUCCACUCUCCAUUCGCUCCCCAUUCCUUUCCUCCAACCUCUCGACUCCUGAAUGUUUUGCCUCGGUCUUCCCAGAAUGCCACACAUGGGUGGGUUCUUACAGUGUAUUCUGUAAUGGAGUUGGCUGUUUCACGUGUCAAUCAACUUCUAGGCCCAUGCGCUUCCGUGUCAAGACAGCCGAUUUUCUUUAGUGCCGAGUGCAAACCUGUUGGCUGGGCCACGGUCUAUUCUCCCGUUUACCUCAAGAACGCUUGGUUGCUUCCAAGUUCUGGAUCACGUACAAAGCUGCUAUCAGCACCCGUGGGAUGUGAGCUCUCCCCUCUACACCAGCUGCCAUGACGACAGUGGACGCGUAUCCCCCUGGAACUAUAAGGAUACUUUGGUGGUGAUAUUCUAACACAGCCAUAGAAAAGUAAGACACCAGGGAACCAACUAUCCGAGCAGAACUUUCCCGACCCGAAGGAGCUGAGGGGAAAUGAAUCACUGAUGGACCGUCACCUGUAAUUUGAUAAUUGGCUUCUAACAACCGGUUUGGCCUUGAACAAUGAGCCACACUCUCUUUACUGCUAGAAUGUUCCAGAAGGAAGGAGACAAACACCAUACAAUACUGUGCAGACGCCCACUGUCCAUCCGUUGAGAAGACUUCCAUCUGCCGGGGUGCGGUGUGCCCUGGGGAGGAGGCUGAGUAACCGGCACAGUGUAUACUUGGAUAAUGACAGUGAGCUAACCUUUCCUCAGAACUCCAUGGAACCACGACACUCAAAGUUAAGUUGACCCUGUAGCUUUACUCCCCGUUAUCUGCUGCCUCCAGGUCGAGAUCGUCUCUCAACAUUUGCCUAAGAUGUAGCGUAAAGUCCUUUGAGGGGAAGUGAGCACAGUGUCCCACCCGGCUAAUGGCUGCCCCAGCAUUUACUCUCACCAUCUGAGAACGCUCGGGGAGCUUCAUUCACUAGGACACAUACUCCUCUCUGGUUUGGGCCACUUACUAUUCAGUGGUGUUCGGAGCCAUGGCCACGCGGCAUAGGCCACACUUACGAGUAUGUCGCUCUUCUGUUCUAACUGUGCACAGCUUCAGAGGGACCUGGCUGCACACAGACAUGGUGCUUGGCAGAAAGGAACUCUGUCUUGAUAAAUGCACAUCCACAGUCAGGGGCAGUUGAGUAACAGGAAACGGUCGUGAUAAAUCCGAGCCUUAUCUAUCAACAGUUAUGUCCCUGACGGCAGGCGCCCAGUGUCAUCUCCUGUUGACUUCUCAAAGCCUGGCACAGCAUCUCCCACAUAAACGCUUGGCAAACGAAGCGAAAGGUGAACAGGCAGCUGUGCAGCAUGGCCGCUAAGGCACUCAUUCCCUCAGCAACUCCAAUGCUAAUUUAACUCAUUUUUAUGUCCUGGCUUGGGAGCGGGAGAUAAAAUACUGCUUUUCUUCCAGCCAUUGCUCCAAAGCUAAAUUUAUAUGUUACUCAUACCCACGUCACCACAGGCUAAUUAGAUGUAAGAAUUUACUCCCGGUUCAAAGAAAUCUGACUUCAAAGCAGAGCUGAACUCACUUUUAAAUCAAUCAUCUCGCAUUCUCCCUUCCGCCAACAGAAAAGGACAAAGUGUCAUUGUUCGCCAGCAUGGCGCUGAACGUCAGGUCAGCCACUCCAACCCAUCUGGGAUAUGAACAGCUAUAUUUGCAGAGAAUACAAUAUUUUAUGUUUUAUCAACAUUAUUUUAUUUUAUGUGUGUAUUUGUCUGCAUGUGUGCCUGUGUACCACAUGCUGGCCCGGUAACCAAGGAGGCCAGAAGGAGGCAUCGAGUGCCCUGAACCUGGAGUUCCAGUCAGUUGAAGUCUUCACGGGGGCGUUGGGAGCCAAACCCAAUCGUCUGCAAGAGCAACACGUGUCCCUAACUAGUGAGCCGUCACCUCUCCAGACCCCCAAAUUCUUUAUUAAUUCUGUGGCAAUGUGCAAGGUGACACGAUGGCAUCAUUUGAGUGGACUUUGGAUUUAUCUGAUCACUGUGACACACACACUGCAGCUUCCAUUGUAAGAAUUUUUUUUCAAUUUUCAGAAAUUUUCUUUUGGGGGUGACAAGGGUGGAGGACUGGGAAAUGAGUGGGUUUGGGGUGCAUGAUGGGAAAUUCACCAGAAUCAAUAAAAAAGUAUGCUAAAAACUCCCAAUGACAUUUAGAUACGUGUCACCUAGGGAUGAUUGUUAGAACUUUGAUAAUCUGAUAAGAAGCCACCUGGACAUCGUGAUGAAUGAUGCAAGGGAACAGGAGAGAAAGAGGCCGAGGCCGUCAUAGCCUCGUGGUACAGAGUCCUGCUCAGCAUAUGCAGCCACAGGACCUGAGGCACAGGAUCUGCAGUGAGGAGCCGUGGAGAAGACCUUCGCCUAUAGAACCACCAUCUAAUCUCUUGUAGAAGGCCUGCCUCUCUGUGCUCCCAGAAAUGACCAAGCCAAGCUCAAGCCGACAAGCCAAGAAUUCUCCCCGUAGGACUGGCCCAGGCUCCCCUCUUUUCUCCCUUGGCCUGGGGCUAGAUCCAGCCUGUGGUCCCCCACUCCAUUCUCAGCUCUUCCAAGGGAUCCAGUGGUGCCUGGGUGUCUGAGAGCCUGAGAACCAGGCGACCUGGCCUUGGGGCAGGCCCGGGAACCCCUGAGCCAGCCAGAGUUGGCAAUCCUAAGCCUCAGACUGCUCUUCCCCAUUCCCGGAGUGGUGUCUUGCGGCUUCCCUACGGCCUGACACCCACCCAGCGACAGUGUGUGGUAAGCACAGUCACUUCCUGUAUCUUGCCUCCCCUGUGGCAGAGCAGACACAGGCACCAUAACCCUACAGCAGCAAAUCUUUUCUUAUUUAUUAAUUGCUCCAUUUUCAUUAAAUUAUAAACUUUGGGUUUCUGA
Molecule: small RNA, 4371 nt
Filed under: Rattus norvegicus (Norway rat)
Lineage: Eukaryota; Metazoa; Chordata; Mammalia; Rodentia; Muridae
Description: uncharacterized LOC102547634
Source: RNAcentral